AUGAACGCUGGCGGCGUGCCUAAUACAUGCAAGUCGAGCGAACGGACGAGAAGCUUGCUUCUCUGAUGUUAGCGGCGGACGGGUGAGUAACACGUGGAUAACCUACCUAUAAGACUGGGAUAACUUCGGGAAACCGGAGCUAAUACCGGAUAAUAUUUUGAACCGCAUGGUUCAAAAGUGAAAGACGGUCUUGCUGUCACUUAUAGAUGGAUCCGCGCUGCAUUAGCUAGUUGGUAAGGUAACGGCUUACCAAGGCAACGAUGCAUAGCCGACCUGAGAGGGUGAUCGGCCACACUGGAACUGAGACACGGUCCAGACUCCUACGGGAGGCAGCAGUAGGGAAUCUUCAGCAAUGGGCGAAAGCCUGACGGAGCAACGCCGCGUGAGUGAUGAAGGUCUUCGGAUCGUAAAACUCUGUUAUUAGGGAAGAACAUAUGUGUAAGUAACUGUGCACAUCUUGACGGUACCUAAUCAGAAAGCCACGGCUAACUACGUG
Molecule: ribosomal RNA, 496 nt
Filed under: uncultured bacterium
Lineage: Bacteria
Description: partial 16S ribosomal RNA
Rfam family: Bacterial small subunit ribosomal RNA
Source: RNAcentral